UACGUAGGUGGCAAGCGUUGUCCGGAUUUACUGGGCGUAAAGCGCACGCAGGCGGAUCGUUAAGUCAGGGGUGAAAUCCCGAGGCUCAACCUCGGAACUGCCUUUGAUACUGGCGAUCUUUGAGUCCGGGAGAGGUGAGUGGAACUCCGAGUGUAGAGGUGAAAUUCGUAGAUAUUCGGAAGAACACCAGUGGCGAAGGCGGCUCACUGGCCCGGUACUGACGCUCAUGUGCGAAAGCGUGGGGAGCAAACAGG
RNAcentral lists this ribosomal RNA (254 nucleotides) under uncultured bacterium. RNAcentral's name for it is "partial 16S ribosomal RNA". It matches the Rfam family "Bacterial small subunit ribosomal RNA", at positions 524 to 776 of the family's 1533-position model. The record is from RNAcentral.